AACCGGAUUAGAUACCCUGGUAGUUCCACGCCUUAAAGAUUGUGACUUGGAGGUUGUUCCCUUGAGGGAGUGGCUUCCGGAGCUAAACGCGUUAAGUCGACCACCUGGGGGAGUACGGCCGGCAAGGUAGAACUCAAAUGAAUUGAGCGGGGGCCCGCACAAGCGGUGGAGCAUGUGGUUUAAUUCGAUGCAACGCGAAGACCUUACCUGCUCUUGACAUCCAGCGAACUUAGCAGAGAUGCUUUGGUGCCUUCGGGAACGCUGAGACAGGUGCUGCAUGGCUGUCGUCAGCUCGUGUUGUGAAAUGUUGGGUUAAGUCCCGCAACGAGCGCAACCCUUAUCCUUUGUUGCCAGCGAUUCGGUCGGGAACUCAAAGGAGACUGCCGGUGAUAAACCGGAGGAAGGUGGGGAUGACGUCAAGUCAUCAUGGCCCUUACGAGUAGGGCUACACACGUGCUACAAUGGCGCAUACAAAGAGAAGCGACCUCGCGAGAGCAAGCGGACCUCACAAAGUGCGUCGUAGUCCGGAUCGGAGUCUGCAACUCGACUACCGUGAAGUU
This 560-nucleotide ribosomal RNA is filed under the name uncultured Pantoea sp. RNAcentral's name for it is "bacterial SSU rRNA". It matches the Rfam family "Bacterial small subunit ribosomal RNA", at positions 771 to 1327 of the family's 1533-position model. The record is from RNAcentral. Lineage: Bacteria; Pseudomonadati; Pseudomonadota; Gammaproteobacteria; Enterobacterales; Erwiniaceae.